UUUAAGUUAGUUUAUUUGCUAAGGAUUAGGGUAGUGAAUACGAAUCUAAUCACUUGAAUCGGUAACCAACGAAAGAAUUAAUCCAUUGCACCAUUACCUUGAAAUCAACCAUAGAGUCAACCAAGUUGAACUAAACAGAAGUUCCUUUCCAAUUAUUGAAUCUAGUUAAGUCUUUAUUUUCUAGUUCUUAAAUUAGUAAUAGUUAGUAAGUUUCUAGUCUUGUAAAACUAGAGAAAACCCCUACUUAUUAAUUAACUUAGAUAAAAUUAGUUUUUAAUUUUAAUUUGCCGUUCCCUGUGAUCGAUACCCUGCUUAUUUAGCUAUACCACAAUUGAUAGGUUCACUGCCUUUUGUGUGUUAUUUGAUAAUUAAAAGUAGGUUUAAAACUAAGUGAGUUUGUACACUUCAAGUUUUUGGCGCCCUUGCCGGGGAACGGUUCUAAAAUUAAUAUUAAAUUCUAGUCUAAUCGAUCCUUUGUGUGCGAUUUAUCUUACACAAAGUUAUUUACAAAGUAAUUCAGUAAGUAGAAUUAGUUUCAAUAAAAUUCUGUUUUUAGGAUAACUAGAAUUUUUUUUCAGUUUUUGCCUUGAACUCGCCGAGUGCAUUCGAGUAGACUCGGCGAGUCCAACGCUUUUUUCAGCUUUAUUUUAUUAUUUCGCUUUUGUUCUUUUUACGCGUUUUGUUUCUUUUGUUUUGUUUGUUUACAGUUGUUUCAUGACCCGAGGAUCUGAUACACCUCUGGCCCCUCCUUUAGAAGACCCGGAAUCCGCACUAAGAAGGAGAAAAGGAAAAGUCGUUGGAGAAACCACAUCUUCAAAGAACUCACCACUCAAAAACUUAAAGUCCGUUUUCAGUACGAAGAAGAGCAGCAAAUCAGGAGCAUCCAAUGCCUCAUUGACAAUUGAAGAACCAAUUCAAGAAGAUAUCGAGUACGAGACCGAGGAAGAAGAAGAGCAUACUUACGAGCACGAAACCGAUUCCGAAGAAGAGUUAGCUAUCACAAUGGCUAACAUUGAUGAAGUCCCCAUGGGGGAAUGGAAGAAAAGGAUGCGUGAUGACACCGGGCCGGGACUUGUGCAACCCGCAAUUCCCGCGACCGCUACUUUCGAACUAAAAGGCCAUAUUCUCGCCCAACUCAAGGAGAUUCCUUUUUACGGGAAGGAUCACGAAGACGCUUACAAGCACUUGGACGAAGUGAAUGAUGUGGCCGAUUACUUCAACGUACCGAAUGUUCCACGCGAGACCCAGCUUCUUCGCAUGCUUCCUGUCACAUUUAAAGGAGCUGCAAAAGAUUGGUUAAAGUCACUUCCUCCCGGAUCGGUCACCACAUGGGCCAAGAUGAAAGAAGAGUUCAUAGACCAUUUCUGCCCGCCCUCCAAGAUAGCCAAGCUAAAGAAAGCCAUUGCCAACUUCGAGCAACAACCCGGAGAAUCUCUUUAUGAAGCUUGGGAAAGGUACAAGAGCCUACUUAGAAAUUGCCCACACCAUGACCUUAAUAGCCAACAAGAGGUCUCCAUCUUCUAUGAUGGAGUAAAUGUCACCACAAGGCAAUUGCUUAAUUCUCAAGGCCCGUUCACAAAGAAGGCGCCCCCGGUAAUUAAAGAAUUAAUUGAAGAAUUCUCUAAGCACUCUAGAGAAUACCACAAUCCGACAAACGAAGUAAGUCGGGGGGUAGUGAACGCGGCAAAUGAUAGCAUGGCGGCGGUGAUAGCUAAGCUUGAUAGUCUAGAUCGAAGAAUGACAAAAAUGGAUCAAACAAUCCAUGCUAUUAUGGUAGGAUGCGAAAAUUGUAAAGGGCCCCAUCUCACAAAGGAUUGUGAUUUGGAUGAGAAUGGAAAUAAGAGAGCUCAAGUCUUCUAUUCAAGUGGCGAUCGAUAUGAUGAAAAUUGGCGGAAACCUAAGAAGGAAUGGCUACCAUACGAAGAGUAUAAGAAGGCAAAGGAGGAGAAAUACAAGCAGAAGGAGAGGGGACUAUACCAAAAGGAAGAACCGGUAGAAAAGAAAGCCAAUUUAGAAGAGUUAUUCACUAGAUUCAUAGCCGCAUCCGAAAAAAGACACAGUGAUCACGAUGCUGCCAUACACGAGACCAAAAACAUGCUAAGGAAUCAGCAAGCAUCAAUUCUCAAAAUUGAGAAACAGCUGGGGCAGCUUGCGCAUCAAGUGAAUGAUAGAAGACCGGGUCAACUUCCGAGUAACACCGAACCCAAUCCAAGAAUGGAGAAUGUAAGUGUAAUAACAUCCAGCAGUGAAGAAACACAUACAGAAGCACUGAGAAUCUCCAAGAAGAAGGCAGAAAAGGUAGAAAAAUCGGACCCAACAAAACCCGAUCUGACUCGCCGAGUCACUCCAUUGGACUCGAUGAGUCCAUGCAUAAAUGAUAAAACUGUCAGUUCUUUGAAGCCUUAUAAUCCUCCUCUGUCAUAUCCAAUCAAAGCCAUCCCUGUAGAAAAAGUAGAAGCAUACAGAACCUUCAUGAAGCAUGUUAAUGCUUUACAAGUUAAUGUGCCAUUUGUGGAAACAAUGCUCCAAACACCUAAGUACUUCAACUUGAUUAAGGGCCUUUUUGCUGCUAGGAAAGAUUUGGCUGAAGUCGCGGAAAUAUUGAUGAGUGAGCUACCUGAAAAGAAGGGUGAUCCGGGAAAUAUUGUGAUUCCGUGCCAAUUCGGUAAUGAAGUUUUCACCCGAGCAUUAGCUGAUUCGGGGGUAAGCAUCAAUCUGAUGCCUUUUUCAUUCUUUAAGAAGUUGAAAUUACCAGAACCAAGGCUGGUGAAUAUGAAGAUCCAUUUGGCGGACAAGAAGAUAAUUCAUCCACAAGGCGUUUGNUCCUUAUAAAAGUUGACAAGUUUAUUUUCCCAGUAGACUUCGUGGUAGUUGAUAUGGAAGAAGACCCCGAAAUUCCAAUUAUUUUGGGGAGAUCAUUCUUGAACACCGCGUGUGCUUUAAUUGAUAUAUGUGAGUCUACAUUGACAUUAAGAGUGGGAGAUGAGUCUGUAAUGUUUAAAGCUAUUCCAGAAGCCAAGCAAGAAGAAGAAAAGAAUGAAGAAAUCUCAUUUAUCCAUUUGGAUGAUGAGAUGUUACAAAAAGAUCUUGAACUUUUGCUAAAAGAAGAUCCAAGCAAGUUUUUGAUACACUCUGAAGAAGAUGAAGAUGUUAACAAGGACUUGGAGGAGUUAGAAAAGCUACUGGAAGGAGCCAACUCAGAAAACACCCAAGAAUUGAUGGAACCCGAUCAGACUCGUCGAGUCACUUUAAUGGACUCGAUGAGUCCAGUCGAAUUUAACAAAGACUUGGCCGACUUAGAUCUGUUUGUUACUAGUUCUUCACAUACCUUGGAUUUAGAUAUUAUUCAUGACUCUUUAGAAGAACAAACAGCAGACGGAGGAAUGGGAAUGAAAGUUCAAUACACCGAUGUAGCAUGUCUUGAUUCGAUUCCGUUUGAAGAUGGGUUGAGCAUAGGAGGGGAUGAAGAGACAAAGGAAAGGAGGGUGGAAGCUGAUCAACCAUUCACUACUAAACCUAAAGCACGAACCAUCACGAAAUAUGACGUAAUUAAAUUUAAAGAGAAGGAGGUGCAAGAGAAAGUGAAAAAGAAUGGGGUAAAGAAGAAAAAGAGGAAAAGGGAAGCCCAAGCAGCUGAGGGUGAUGCUGUGAAAAAGAAAAGAGAUGCAUUGAAAAGGGCUUACAAGAAAAAGAUUCAUGCUUACAAGACCAAGCACAAACCACAAAAAGUUAGGCGUGCAUUCCCGAUGCUGGAAGAUGACGAAACGUAGAUAGGAAGGAGUCCAGCUAACGACUCCUUAAAAAGAAGCGCUUGGUGGGAGGCAACCCGUAUUUAGAGUUUGCUUUCUUUUACUUUUUAGUUUUCUUUGAAAAUUUUUUCGUUUUUAGAUUGUUAAUUCUUUAAUUCGAUGGACAUGUCUGCUUGAGAGUGUGCAUGGGCUAAGUGUGGGGUGAAAUGAUUUUUUAGAUAAAUGAAAAUUUUUAUGGACUUUUGCAAAAGACUCGCCGAGUCUUACCACGACUCGACGAGUAGAUAUGGAUUUCAGAAAAAGUUUGACAUCGCGAGCAGACUCACCGAGUCUAACCCCAACUCGACGAGUCGGUAUUAUUUACAAAAAAAAUAAUUUUGAAAUUACUUUUACAACCGGUAACUAGGGUUUUAACCCUAAUGAAUCAGUUUUCUUUUCACAUACACACUCGUCAUGCGCCUCUCUCUCAACUUUCUCUCAAGCAUUCAAAGUGUUCUUCAAUUUUUCUUCAAAUUUCUCAAGUACCAUCUCAAAAGGUAAUGAAUUUCUUCUUGUUUUCUGUUAAGAAUAUGAUUAUAAGGCUAUCUAGGAUAGAAAUUGCAUGAAAAAAACUCGUUUUUGAAAAGUAGUAAAUUUCUAGCGUUUUGAUUUUUCAUGAAUUAUGUUGUUUUGAAUGCUUAUUCUGGCCUUAAUACCAUAAUAAUGUGUGCCUAGACAAAACCCUUGACGAAAUUUCCAGGUUCCAUGGUCCAAUUUCCAUCGACCCGCCGACUGACUCCUGCAGUUCGUGCGACUCGCCGAGUCGUACAUGGACUCGACGAGUUGAGUCGGGAAACAUAUGCGAGACGUUUUUUUAAUUAUAUUCUGUGUUUCUGGGUUUUGUGUCUUUGUUUUGCAGAAAUCAUGUUCAGAAGGGGGCAAAGUUCCAGUGGCCACCAAGGGGACUUUCCUUGGUUGAAUUUUCCACAAAUAGAGUCCGCUUCAACAUUGCAGAAGUGGUAGAAGAUGUUGGCGGACAUAAAGAAGAAGGAGAUCUAUGUGCCCAACCGGAUAGAUUGGGAUUGGCUGCAAAGUGUUCGCUAUGAGGAGGAGUUACCUCCUUAUCUUGUAAAGGAGUUUCACCAUGAAGGCGAAACAAUGAUUUGCGACGGGUGGAGCCGUGUCUUCCGUAUUCAAGAGGCGGUUUAUUUGGAGCUGUGUUUGGAGUUCUUCUCCAUGAUAUCUUUCACCGAGGGAGUGGAUGUUUAUCACCCGUCAAGCUUUAGUUUCUGCCUGGGAGGAGAAUUUUGUCAAUGCUCUGUGAUGGAUCUUGCCUGUCGAUUAGGGGUUUAUGAUCAGCCCUUGGUCUCAACACCCAUCUUUCGGGCCUUUUUGGCACAAACCCAUAUGGUGUUUCCCGAAGGAGUUACGAGCACGGGCUGGUGGAAUACAAUUGGUAACAAGGUCUAUAUUCUGAAGUCGGCACAGGAAGGGAGCAUUCGAUCCCCAACACACCGCCUCAUUCAUCGUCUCAUUUCAUCCACCAUCAACCAAAGGAAAGAUGAUGACAAGGUUUCUAACCUUGAUGUCUUCUAUUUAUGGAGCAUUAUUACACCCGGCGUUUUUUGCAAUAUUCCUUGGUGUCUAGCUUCAUAUCUCUCGGAGGGUGCGGUCAAGGAUCGCAAAACUUCUCGAAUCAACGGUGGGAUGUUUGUCACCCGGUUAGCCAACUCAUUCGGGUUGAUGAACCGCAAUGCAUGGAACUUCAUGAAGAUGAUCCCUACACCUCCAUUUAAUCCAAUUCAUUUUCGGAGAGCGAGGAUUAUUGAAGAUUAUGUUGGUGGCCAUUACGCCAUUCCGAAUGAUGAUCCGGUUGUUGGUCCCGAAGCACCGGGGAGGAGGGUUAGAUCGAGGAGAGAGCGGGAUGUGGAGGAAGAGCCUCCGGUGAUUCCGGUUGACAACGAAGAAGUACCAAUGGAUUGGUACAAUGUGGAGAUGAGGCGGCUACAAGAUCAAAUGGCGCGGGGCUUGAAUUUUAGCAACCAAUCAUAUAUCCGACUUUUCGACCACUUUAACAUUCCACACAUCGAUGGUGGUAACUUUCCAUAUAUUCCAUCAUGGGAAGAGGUGAUAAGUGCAAGAAGAAGUGGUACGGGAGGAAGUGGAGCAGGGCUAGAUGAUCUUGAUUAUGAGGAGGAUUGAGUUCUUUGCAUUUUUAUUAUACAAUUUUCAAUCUUUUUAUUUUUUUGUGUUUGUUUUUAUUUUGUUUGUUUAAAUGUUUUUAAAACUUGCUUUUGAUGUUUAUUUGAUGUUUGAAUGCUUUGUCAAUUUUUCAGAAUUGAAUGAGGAGUGCUAGCUUCAAAAGGGUUUAGAAUCAUACAAUCAAAGUGAGAAAGAGAGUCAAGAAAGAGGGAGCAUUAGAGUUAAAGUAUUGAGUCCGGUCCUUAGAGAUGUUGGCAAGGGAGUCUAGAAGUGAAUAGAAAGUAUAGAGAGUUUAUUGGAAGCUGGAUCAGAUGUAGAAUGCUAAUAUUUUCAUUCAGUGACCAACUCGUCGAGUGCAUUAAACUCACUCGACGAGUCGCCCUUAAUUCUCAAAAAUCCGAAGAUUUCCCGAAGUAACUCGACGAGUCUGGUAUAUACUCGACGAGUCGUUUGGUUUCAUGUCAAAGGGGCUGCUAAUUUGAUGCUGAUUAGAGUACCACUUGACUAUCUAUUCUUUCCAUAUUAAUUUUUGAAGAUCUUAUACUGUUUUCCGCAUAUUUGGAGCUACCCACACGAGAAUUGACACCCAAGGCAUGGAUGAGCUGUUCCCAUGUCUAAAGUCAAUUGAAUUGGAGCUGAAAAGGAAGUGAUCAAUCUAUCGACUGCUAUCCCAGGGGAGUUUGUUCCAAUUCCCUUUUUAUUUUUAAGUUUUUAUCAUGCAUAAUAUACAAUGAGGGCAUUGCAUAAAAUAAGUGUGGGGUAGGGGGUUGGUCACAUAAAUAGAAAACUUAGAAUCUUAAUUUAGGCUAAUUUUAAAAAAAAAUUGCAUACCAAAAAUAUUACUUAUGAUUUAAUAUAGAAAAUUUUGGUAAAAAAAUGAUAAUUAUGAUUCCAUGUUAGAAUUGUGUUGAUAAUUGCAUGAAGACCCAUUAGUUGAGCNUUGAGCCUAUAUACGUUCUAGUGCAUUUGUGGCUUCCUUAUUCCAGUGAAAUCAUGGGACAAAAACACGACCCCGCUCAGCCCGAGGGAUGCAAUAUGUUUAGCAGCCUAAACCUGAAAUGUAUCAAGGAAGAUUGUUAUUGUUAGCCAAUAAAGGUUGAGAUUGAGCGCCCCUGCUUAAGCAUGUAGGGAUUUGAGUGAAAAAAAUGUGAGUUACAUGUAAAAAAAAAAAAGAGAAUUACAAGAGAAAUUGUAAGAAUUUUGGAGCAAAUAAAGUAAAGAUCAAAAGAUCAAAAUUCUGAAGAAAUCCAAAAAGUUGAAGAUACCGAAAAUCAAAUCAACAAAGGUGGUGAAUUCAAAGAGAUCAAAGAUCAAAUUAUUAAAGGAAGUGAAGAAUUCCAAAACAGGUCCAUAGUGGUAUCGAAAAGUUGUAAUUCUAGAUUAUGUAUGCUUGGGUUGCUCAAUUAAAAACACCUUGAGGGUAAGAGGUUUUCUGCGGAUGGAUUCGGAGGGUUGCAUAAAAUGAGCAUAGUUCGGGGUGAGUGGGCGAGUGUUUAUGAGGAUUGUGAGUAUUUGGAGUAUGGGAGGUCCUUAGGAAAAAUUUUAGACACAAAUGCAUGCGUUGCGGUCUUGGCAUAAUGGUUGGGUUAGAUUGGAGUUGUCAUAUGUGAUUCUAAUGUUUUAAAAUUUAGUUUUGCUUGGGGGCAAGCAAAAGUCAAGUGUGGGGUAUUUUGAUAUGUGCAUAUUUAGUUCAUAUUAAGUAUAGAUUUUUAUUCAUUUAUUAGCUAAAUUAUUGCAUUUUAUGGACAAAAGGUACUUAAAAGUGUUUGAAUUAUAUUUUCAGUCCAAAAAUGAAGCUCGGAAGCAGAAGGAAGCAGGAGAAGCGGUUGAGAGAUCAAGAAUGGAAUAAAGAAGAAAAACACCAAAAAUAACACCUACUCGGCGAGUAGGGUCGACUACUCGGCGAGUCCGAUCGAAGAAUCGAGAAGAUAAUGACUCGGGAUCCCAGAGACUUAUCACAAUACGGGGACUGAGAGAUGGACUCGACGAGUCGCCACCUGACUCGACGAGUCGAUUCGUAUAUAUAGAGAUAACUCCUCAGAACGAUAGAGGAGAAUUCUGGAACGAUUCAGAAGAGUUUAGCUGCGAUUGAGAAGGCAGAAAAACCCUAGAAGACGACGAAAGAAGCUAGAAUUCAAUCCCGGAGAGUAAUUGAGGCAAAAUUUCAUCAUUCCACUUAUUCUUUUGUUUUAUCAUUAUGGUUAAGCAAUUUGACUUUGUUUGUUUGCUGUUAUUUACUUCAAUUAUGAGCUAAAACCUUUAGACUUCUGUUUGGGGAUACAAAGUUGACAAUAUGGUUUGAUUGAUUGGUAGGAUUAAUUUUAAGUUGGUGAAUUUUUGUUAUUUUAGCUUGCUAAAGAACCUUGUGUGUGAAUAAUAAUUAAUUUUCUGUUAAUAGGAAGAUAAUUGAUUAGCAUGAACAUCUAUUGAUUAUUAACCUCAUAUGCUAUGUGAUCACUAUGCUAUAUGUCUAGGAUUAAUGAAUAUGAAACUAGAAUUAAUAAGAAAAUUGAGUAAAUCCAUGUGCAAGCUUGUAAGAUGACCAUCAAACAAGAAGUUAAUUAAAAGAAUAAAUUAGUUAACUAUUGCAAGUCUAACUUAACCCGAAUAAUUAAUCUAGUGAAUUUAAUUAAAUUAGACAAUUGGCCACUGUUUAAGUUAGUUUAUUUACUAAGGAUUAGGGUAGUGAAUACGAAUCUAAUCACUUGAAUCGGUAACCAACGAAAGAAUUAAUCCAUUUCACCAUUACCUUGAAAUGAACCAUAGAGUCAACCGAGUUGAACUAAACAGAAGUUCCUUUCUAAUUAUUGAAUUUAGUUAAGUCUUUAUUUUCUAGUUCUUAAAUUAGUAAUAGUUAGUAAGUUUCUAGUCUUGUAAAACUAGAGAAAACCCCUACUUAUUAAU
RNAcentral lists this long non-coding RNA (8834 nucleotides) under Lactuca sativa (garden lettuce). RNAcentral describes it as "long non-coding RNA (LSAT_LNC005797)". The record is from RNAcentral. Lineage: Eukaryota; Viridiplantae; Streptophyta; Magnoliopsida; Asterales; Asteraceae.